Molecule: ribosomal RNA, 253 nt
Filed under: uncultured bacterium
Lineage: Bacteria
Description: partial 16S ribosomal RNA
Rfam family: Bacterial small subunit ribosomal RNA
Source: RNAcentral
UACAGAGGGUGCAAGCGUUGUUCGGAAUUACUGGGCGUAAAGCGCGUGUAGGCGGUUUGUUAAGUCUCGUGUGAAAGCCCUGGGCUCAACCCAGGAAGUGCGCGAGAUACUGGCGGACUGGAGUGGCGGAGAGGAUGGCGGAAUACCCGGUGUAGAGGUGAAAUUCGUAGAUAUCGGGUGGAACACCUGUGGCGAAGGCGGCCAUCUGGACGUCAACUGACGCUGAGACGCGAAAGCAUGGGGAGCAAACAGG